RNAcentral lists this ribosomal RNA (438 nucleotides) under uncultured bacterium. Its description in RNAcentral is "bacterial SSU rRNA". It matches the Rfam family "Bacterial small subunit ribosomal RNA", at positions 102 to 520 of the family's 1533-position model. The record is from RNAcentral.
AAGGGUGCGUAACACGUGGGUAAUUUGCCGUGAAGUUGGGGAUAACUCGCUGAAAGGCGAGCUAAUACCGAAUGUGAAAGCCGGGAGGCAUCUCCUGGCUCUCAAAGCUGGGGACCGCAAGGCCUGGCGCUUUACGAUAAGCCCGCGGCCUAUCAGCUAGUUGGUGAGGUAACGGCCCACCAAGGCUAAGACGGGUAGCUGGUCUGAGAGGACGACCAGUCACACUGGAACUGAGACACGGUCCAGACACCUACGGGUGGCAGCAGUCGAGAAUUUUUCUCAAUGGGCGAAAGCCUGAAGGAGCGACGCCGCGUGGGGGAUGAAGGGCUUCGGCCCGUAAACCCCUGUCAUUUGCGAACAAACCUUGCGGUUUAACAGACCGCAAGCUGAUUGUAGCGGAAGAGGAAGGGACGGCUAACUCUGUGCCAGCAGCCGCGG